GAUCUUGUCGUAUUAAUGAGGAAGGUUGUGCUGAUCUGAGUUCAGCUCUGAGAUCAAACCCGUCUCAUCUGAGAGAACUGGACCUGAGUAAGAAUUACUUUACAGAAUCAGGAGUGAAACAGCUUUCAGAUCUACUAAAACAUCCUCAGUGUAAACUGCAGAAACUGGGGUUGAGAUCUUGUGGUAUCAGUGAGAGAGGUUGUGCUGUUCUGAGUUCAGUUCUGAGAUCAAACCCGUCUCAUCUGAGAGAACUGGACCUGAGUAACAAUAGCAUUACAGAUCCAGGAGUGAAGCAGCUUUCAGAUCUACUAAAACAUCAUCAGUGUGAACUGGAGAAACUGUGGUUGAGAUCUUGUUAUAUUAGUGAGAGAGGUUGUGCUGAUCUGAGUUCAGUUCUGAGAUCAAACCCGUCUCAUCUCAGAGAACUGGACCUGAGUAACAAUAACAUUACAGAUUCAGGAGUGAAGCAGCUUUCAGAUCUA
Molecule: long non-coding RNA, 482 nt
Organism: Sinocyclocheilus grahami
Lineage: Eukaryota; Metazoa; Chordata; Actinopteri; Cypriniformes; Cyprinidae
Exons: 3
Source: RefSeq, a predicted model, not a curated record